Non-coding RNA from Aegilops tauschii subsp. strangulata, 3779 nucleotides. The record is from RefSeq and is a predicted model, not a curated record. Lineage: Eukaryota; Viridiplantae; Streptophyta; Magnoliopsida; Poales; Poaceae.
GAGAGAACAGUGCAGCCAGUCCACUUUUACUGUUUCCAUGUGGCUCCCUGAAAUUCCACUCUGCUUUCCCUUCCCUUGCAUGCUUUCCUCCGGAGUUCUUUCCUCUCCGCAGCGCGUGGCUUCCUUCCAAUGGCAGCCUCCCGAUUCGUUCGCGGGCGACCGGCGGCGUGGUGAGCAGCAGCGACGGUGCCGGCGAGUACGCGCCCAGCCAGAGCGAGCGGCAAGGGAUCUGCUGCACUCCACCCAUAAUAAUUUUUCUAACAACCCGUUUCCCUCAGCUCCAGAUCUGCGUCCAUCGUCGUCUUUAGUGGAGAACAGAGCUUCCGCCAUCUUACUCCAACUCUGGCCACUGCUCAAGUUCAGAAGGCAACAUGUAAGCAGAAGCAAGUAUGACUAACUAGCUAGUAAGCCAGACAAGGUAACUCACUAAUUAAAGAGAUGGUAGGAGUCAUGAUGAGCACUUCAACUGGCGCCAUGAACUCCCUCCUGGGCAAGCUGACCACCCUCAUGGGGGAGGAGUUCGCCAAGCUCAAGAAUCUACGCAAGGAAGUGAAGUUCAUCAAGGAUGAGCUUGGCAGCAUGAAGGAUACUCUUGAGGUGCUUGCAGAUGUGGACAAGCUAGACCCCCAGACCAAGAGCUGGAGGGACACACUAAGGGAGAUGUCUUACGACAUUGAAGACAUCAUUGACGACUUUAUGCAUCACAUUGGGAAGAAAAGUGAAUCUGAAAACCAAGGGUUCGCCAAGAAGACUGUUCGGCUCCUAAAAAAGUUGAGAGUCCGCCAUCAGAUUGCCAGUCGGAUCAAGGAGAUCAAGGAACUUGUGCUUGAGAUAAGUGCGCGGCGCCAACGGUACAAGCUUGAUAUUUCCCCAUCAAAAUAUGUGGAAAUUGACCCACGAGUUGCCAUACUCUAUGAAAAUGCAGCCAAUCUUGUUGGUGUGGAAGGGCCAGCGGAGGAGCUUGAGAACCUGCUAAAAGAUGAGAACGAGAAAUUCAAGGUGGUGUCGAUUGUGGGAUUUGGAGGUCUAGGCAAAACAACACUUGCCAAUGUGGUAUAUGGUAAGCUCAAGAACAGUUUUUCGCACUGUGCUUUUGUGCCAGUCUCUCAAAAGCCAGACAUCACGAAACUUCUCCAUGGUUUAAUGUCCCAACUUGGAUGUACACCAUCUUCUCAUCAUUGCGGCUUAAAUGUCAUGUUGGACCAACUUAGGGAACAUCUACACAACAAGAGGUACUUGAUUAUAAUUGAUGAUCUAUGGGGUGUAUCAGACUGGGAUAUUAUCAAACGUGCAUUCCCAGAAAAUGAUCUUGGCAGCAGAGCAAUAGUGACUACAAGAGUUCAGGAAGUGGCUGCAGCAUGUUGCUCCAAUCAUCAUGAUUAUAUUUUACAAAUGAAGCCUCUAAAUGACAAACACUCGAGAAGGUUGUUUUUUGGCAGGAUAUUUGGCAGGGAAGAUGCUUGCCCUAACACACUCAGAGAUGUUUCGGUUGAAAUUCUCCAAAAAUGUGGUGGCUUGCCUCUUGCAAUUAUUAGCAUAGCAGGCCUGCUAGCAAGUGAAGGUCCCAACCAAGAGGAGUUGGAACAUGUUCGGAAUUCUUUGGGCUCGAUGUCUGGAACAAAACUCACACUUCAAGGGAUGAGACAAAUCUUAAACCUCAGUUACAAAGACCUUCCAUGUCAUCUGAAGACAUGCUUGUUAUAUCUUGGUAUGUAUCCGGAGGACUACACAAUAAAGAGGUCUGAUCUGGAACGCCAAUGGAUGGCGGAAGGUUUUGUUAGUAAAGAAAAUGGACAAGACAUGGAGAAAAAUGCGAGAAACUAUUUCAAUGAGCUUGUCAAUAGGAGCCUUGUUCAACCUGUAGAAUUUGACAGCAGUGGGUCGGUGACAGAAUGCAAAGUACACGAUAUGAUGCUCGAUCUUAUCCUGGUUAAGUGUGCGGAAGAGAAUUUUCUCACUGUAGUGGAUGGUUCACAGGCCAAUACAGCACCGGAAUACAAGGUUCGUCGUCUGUCUGUUCGCUUGAAUGAUGCAAGUAAUGGAACAUUAUUAUUGGGGAAGAUUAGUUUGUCACAGGUCCGGUCCGUUAUGAUCUUUGGAAGAUCUGAGAAUCAGAAUAUACUUCCUCUGUCGAAAUUCAAGUUCCUCCGAGUUCUUUUUAUCAAGGAUUACCCUACAUCAAUCGACCUCACUGGGAUGAACGAACUGUAUCAGCUAAGAUAUGUACAGAUUGAUGGCAGUGGUGACGAUGUGCACCUACCAACACAGAUUAGAGGACUCCAACAAUUAGAAACAUUUGAUAUAUGGUACUGUGCCAGUGUUCCAUCGGAUAUAGUUUAUCUGCCACACUUGUUGCAUCUGAGUAUUGGACGUCUUAGAGGGCUGCCUGAUGGGAUUGGCAAAAUGAAAUCCCUGAGAUCUCUUUGUGGAUUUAAUUUAUCAGUAAACUCACUAGAUAACAUCAAGGGCCUUGGAGAGAUGACCAAUAUGAGAGAUCUAGCUCUCACCGGCCACAUUGCUUACCAUGAUCAGGACGGCAUCAUGGAUGUUCUAAACUCUUCUUUGAAAAAACUUGGUAGCCUUGAGUUCCUGCGCAUAUAUAUCCAUGGAUGCACGGAUGGCUUGUCUCCUCCGUGCAGCCUUCAAAGACUCGCCACAAUGCAGUUUCCAUGGGGGGAUUCUUAUUUUUCCAGGGUCCCUAACUGGCCGAGGGAAUUUCAUAACCUGCGUGUGUUGCAGUUCAUUGUUGAUGAGCUGCUCACGGAGGAUGUUGGUAUUGUUGCGGAUUUGCCCUCCCUCACCGACCUUGAUUUACAUGUCCGAAGACCCCCAAAAGAAAUGAUUGUCAUCUAUGGAAGAGGAACAUUCCCUGCUCUAAAGCAGUUUACACUCAGCUUGAGUAACGCAUCAUACCUGACCUUCCAGGCUGGGGCGAUGCCCAUGCUCCAGAGGUUCAAGAUAACUUUCAGCGUCAAAGGUUGGAAGAAGAACGGGGCUGGACCAGCCGGCAUCGAGCAUUUGCCUGCACUUGAAGAGGUGUCUGCAUAUAUCGAGCACAACCAGGCUACAGAAUCUGAAUGGAGCAGCUCUGAAUAUGCAUUUAGGAGUGCCGUCGAAAUGCAUCCUGGCAAUCCCCGCAUUGAAGUCGAACAUUCUAAUUGGGUUCGUUUUUUUGACAAAUAAUUUCUGCUUUGACUCCGCAUCACGCGGCUAUCUUUGAUAGAACCUCGACGGAGUUUUGACCAGUCUGGAUAGUAUUGGUUUUCAGGCUAUGAAGUGCAUCAACGCCAAUAUCUGUUAAAUUGUAUAGCUUUGUGAGGACUGAACAACGGAAUGCUGCAUGCAGAUGUCUAUGAAGAUACAUGUCAUAACAGAUGGAGAUGGGCUGCUGUUUCUCCCAGCUGGAAGAUCGAGCUUCACGGUCUUCGCUCCUUGUGCCACCUAAUUCCAUUUACCCUUUGUGAACAUUCAUUUCAUUAUCUCAGAGUUCCGUUUCGUUACCUCUCUGAGAUGAUGACCACGCUUUGAUUCUGCUUGUAAUAAAUAAGGCUUGGUGCUGGGCAGAAGUUUGCACUCAUAGAUGGUGCUUUGCUCCUUCAUCCCAGCGUUUCCAGCUUCGGAUUAUCUUGUUCAUUUAUGUUGGUGUGCUUACUUUGUAUUGAACUGAACGUUCUUAUUUCAAGAUUCGAGAUAAAACUUGUUAGAAGACAAUUUACUUGAGAUGUAUUGUAAUUUGCUUAGUUUCAAUGUGAAUUCGCUAAGAAAUGUUGUUUCACUCA